Molecule: ribosomal RNA, 253 nt
Filed under: uncultured bacterium
Lineage: Bacteria
Description: partial 16S ribosomal RNA
Rfam family: Bacterial small subunit ribosomal RNA
Source: RNAcentral
UACGUAGGUGGCAAGCGUUGUCCGGAUUUACUGGGCGUAAAGAGCGCGCAGGCGGUCGGGUAAGUCGAAUGUGAAAGCCCCCGGCUUAACUGGGGAGGGUCAUUCGAUACUGUUCGACUGGAAGGCAGGAGAGGGAAGCGGAAUUCCCGGUGUAGUGGUGAAAUGCGUAGAUAUCGGGAGGAACACCAGUGGCGAAGGCGGCUUCCUGGCCUGUUCUUGACGCUGAGGCGCGAAAGCUAGGGGAGCAAACGGG